RNAcentral lists this long non-coding RNA (759 nucleotides) under Venturia canescens. RNAcentral describes it as "uncharacterized LOC122410747, transcript variant X1". Lineage: Eukaryota; Metazoa; Arthropoda; Insecta; Hymenoptera; Ichneumonidae. The record is from RNAcentral.
GGCAUGCUUCAUGCUGCGCGCACAGGAUGACGUAAUAUCGGAUGAUCGUGCACGUCACGCCUCGACGCCGUCUAUGUAAAAUACGUGGAGCAUACACACGUGUGAGUAUAACUCAUCGAUUAGUUAUCUCGUGUCAACUUUUCUGGAGAGUAGACGCGUCGGAGAGGAACGUUGCGGCAUUCCCCGUCUAAUCAUUUGUUCGUAACGAAGAAGACGGUUACAAAAAAAUGAUGGUCACCGAUUUAAAAGAUGCAUGAAAGCGGGCAAUCUCGUCGAAUGAAACGCUCGGUUUACAAAGCUGACAUUUAUUUCGAUCAAUAAUAACUUUAAAAUAAUCUCUAUACAAUAAUAAUAUUAUCAUCAGAGCUAUAAUUUAUUUCAUAUAAGUUUUCCAGUAAUUUUUAUUUAUUUAUUUUUUCUUUUCAUUUCAGCUCAUAUUUUUUUCCUGCAAAGAACUUGGUAAUUCGUUCGCGAUAGGUACAAACAAAAGUGAUUAAUUUUUUUGCUCGAUAAUCGGAUAUUUCGCAAGUCGAACCGAAGCACUUAAAAAUUUUUUUUUUUUUGAAAAAUAAAAGAAAAUAAUUGCAGGUGCAAACGACUAAAAAAUUAUCAGCAUGGUUUUAGUCAUCUCGCGAUGAAUGGACCGAGAACGAGAUUUACACUCUACUUUAUUUAGUGGGCUUCUCAAUGCUACUUUUAUUAUUCGUAAUAUGUACAAAGAAAUAUUCUCAUAAAGAACCAUAUUUCGUUCGUCUCUUU